Molecule: long non-coding RNA, 835 nt
Organism: Cyprinus carpio (common carp)
Lineage: Eukaryota; Metazoa; Chordata; Actinopteri; Cypriniformes; Cyprinidae
Exons: 3
Source: RefSeq, a predicted model, not a curated record
UGCUGUCCGCCAUUACCUCGCUUCGCAAGCAAAGGACCAUCUUCAUGUGCGAGUCUGCGAGAAAACUCAAUUAAACAAGGUGCCCUCUUUCUGGAAUCAUUAACCUCUGCAGAAUUUGGUUGUCCAGAGGGAUGAAGCUGAAACAGAGCUUGCAAGUUCCACAAUGGCUGUGUUCGUCAUCAGGGAAGAGGGUGAUUCUCUCCAACCACCACAUGACAUUGGUAUAGUCAUUGAAGGUGUGAAAGUCCUGAACAGGUUGCCAUCAGUCGCACAUGCAUGUGCCAUGUUAUUUGGCCUAAUUUAUGUGCUGAACUUGAGCUAUCCAGGUGAGCUGGAACACACCUUUGAUGCACUACAAAAGUUAUUUAUGGAUAUUUAACCAAAGAAAAUGAAGCGCAAAGUUCUCAGCCUCAGUGUUAAGCUGUGAAAGUAAAGUAGCAAAGAGAAAUACAUUUAAAUACGUUGUAUUUGGUUCUGUUUUAGAGCUUGUACUCAAAUACAUUGCAGGUUAAUGAAUUACUGUUCAAUGAAAAACACUUUAAACUGAUGUUAAACUCAAUUUAUUGUGAAGUUUUGUGGUAUAGAUAUUUGGGCACAUCGUUAACAUAUUAACUUUUAAACCGUUUUACAGUUAUUAAAGGCUAUUGCAUUACAUUUCUCAGGUUUUACAUAUUUUACUGUUUCAUUGAUUGGUAAUGUGCUCAAUAUUGAUGUGGGACUCUUAAGCACUUGUUUUUUAUUUUAUUUUUUGUUAAUCUAGCCAAGUUUGUACAGUGUAGAAACUGUAUUGCACUUAAUUGCUGUUACAAAAAAAGGUCAAAGCAUAUUUACUGUC